GUAAACGUUGCGCACUAGGUGUGGGCGGCAUUCCACGUCGUCCGUGCCGCAGCUAACGCAUUAAGUGCCCCGCCUGGGUAGUACGGCCGCAAGGCUAAAUCUCAAAGGAAUUGACGGGGGCCCGCACAAGCGGCGGAGCAUGUGGCUUAAUUCGACGCAACGCGAAGAACCUUACCAAGGCUCGACAUACACCGGAAACACGUGGAGACACGUGCCCCCUUGUGGUCGGUGUACAGGUGGUGCAUGGCUGUCGUCAGCUCGUGUCGUGAGAUGUUGGGUUAAGUCCCGCAACGAGCGCAACCCUUGUUCUGUGUUGCCAGCGUGCCUUUCGGGGUGACGGGGACUCACAGGAGACUGCCGGGGUCAACUCGGAGGAAGGUGGGGACGACGUCAAGUCAUCAUGCCCCUUAUGUCUUGGGCUGCACACGUGCUACAAUGGCCGGUACAAUGAGCUGCGAUGCCGCGAGGUGGAGCGAAUCUCAAAAAGCCGGUCUCAGUUCGGAUUGGGGUCUGCAACUCGACCCCAUGAAGUCGGAGUCGCUAGUAAUCGCAGAUCAGCACUGCUGCGGUGAAUACGUUCCCGGGCCUUGUACACACCG
Molecule: ribosomal RNA, 599 nt
Filed under: Actinomycetales bacterium DA10
Lineage: Bacteria; Bacillati; Actinomycetota; Actinomycetes; Actinomycetales
Description: bacterial SSU rRNA
Rfam family: Bacterial small subunit ribosomal RNA
Source: RNAcentral